Molecule: ribosomal RNA, 468 nt
Filed under: uncultured bacterium
Lineage: Bacteria
Description: partial 16S ribosomal RNA
Rfam family: Bacterial small subunit ribosomal RNA
Source: RNAcentral
GACGAACGCUGGCGGCGUGCUUAACACAUGCAAGUCGAACGGAAAGGCCCUGCUUUUGUGGGGUGCUCGAGUGGCGAACGGGUGAGUAACACGUGAGUAACCUGCCCUUGACUUUGGGAUAACUUCAGGAAACUGGGGCUAAUACCGGAUAGGAGCUCCUGCUGCAUGGGGGGGGUUGGAAAGUUUCGGCGGUUGGGGAUGGACUCGCGGCUUAUCAGCUUGUUGGUGGGGUAGUGGCUUACCAAGGCUUUGACGGGUAGCCGGCCUGGGAGGGUGACCGGCCACAUUGGGCCUGAGAUACGGCCCAGACUCCUACGGGAGGCAGCAGUGGGGAAUAUUGCACAAUGGGCGGAAGCCUGAUGCAGCAACGCCGCGUGCGGGAUGACGGCCUUCGGGUUGUAAACCGCUUUCGCCUGUGACGAAGCGUGAGUGACGGUAAUGGGUAAAGAAGCACCGGCUAACUACGUG